RNAcentral lists this unclassified non-coding RNA (723 nucleotides) under Hevea brasiliensis (rubber tree). The record is from RNAcentral. Lineage: Eukaryota; Viridiplantae; Streptophyta; Magnoliopsida; Malpighiales; Euphorbiaceae.
AGGUUUCUUAUAAGGAAAAUUUGAGUGAAGAUGAAGACUUUGUGACCCAAUCAAAGAAGGCCAAGGGGAGUGGAUCAUCCUAUGCCAGUGAAGAGCUGUGCAGAAAUGGAUUGAAGCACAGUUUCUUUCAAACAAAUAAGCAUUCUGGACUAGCUUCUGGUGUGAAAGAUCUGAAUGAGGAGAAACAAAAGAAAGGUCCAGAGAGCUUUCCAAUGAAGGACAUCAAGGAUGUAAAGGAAAAAGUAAAAGCAGAAGAAAAUGGGUGUAAGAAAAGUUCUGAGGCUCAUGGCAAUUUUGCAACAGAUUCAAGCUCCAAAUCCACAUCAGAUCCAGAGUUCUAUGAGUAUCCUGACCCAGAUUUCAGUGACUUUGAUGAGGGCCGGAAUGAAGGGUGUUUUUCAAUAGGACAGAUCUGGGCUGUUUAUGAUACCUUUGAUGCCAUGCCUAGGUUUUAUGCUCGAAUUAGGAAAGUUUUCUCUCCUGAGUUCAAACUGCGCAUAACCUGGCUGGAGCCAGACCCAGAUGAUGAAGAUGAAAUUGCAUGGGCCAAUGAGGGCUGGCCAACUCCUUGUGGUAAGUUCAGAAAUGGACACUCUGAAAAUACUGAAUACCGUCUUAUGUUCUCCCAUAUGGUUAACUGGGAAAAAGGUAGCCAAAGGGACACUUAUAAGAUAUUUCCAAGAAAAGGGGAAACUUGGGCUGUCUUCAAGAACUGGGAUAUUA